Non-coding RNA from Cinara cedri, 573 nucleotides. The record is from the annotation of a GenBank genome assembly. NCBI's taxonomy places the organism in Eukaryota, Metazoa, Arthropoda, Insecta, Hemiptera, Aphididae.
UUAUGUGUACAAAAUAAAUUUACCUCAAACAGUUUUUAUAAUCACAUAUCUUUUAAUAAAACACGGUGGGUUUGUUUAUUUUUUGUUGUGAUUUAUAAUCUAACCAUAAAUAAAAAUAAUUCAUGAUUUCCUAACAAUAAUCUUAACAUAACAAAAUAAUAAAUUUUCUAAAUGUUCUAUAUUGUAUUUUGUAUUGUAGUAUCAUCAAAAUGAUUGUGUCCAUCACUUGUACAUACAAUAUUUCCUGUUCAGAUGUUAUAAAAUAAAAUAAAUAAGGAAAUAAUAAUUUAGUAGCAAUUAAAACACAAUGCAGUUACUUAAAAAAAAUGCUAGGCAAUAACACUGCAGCUAAAAUAGAACACAGAAAUGAAUAAAUCACACAUAUAUUGUGUUUUUAGCCUAUUUAUUUAAUUUCAGGGUUUUUUUUCUCUAAAGAAAAUAUUUAAAAUUGGUGUAUCAAUCAGAUUCCAUAGCUAACUCUGUUUUUUUUUCUUUUGAAUUAUGGGACUUUUGCUUAGCAGGGCAGUAUAUUACUAUCUUGUUUUGUUUUAUCGUGUAUUUAUAUUAACAUUU